This 253-nucleotide ribosomal RNA is filed under the name uncultured bacterium. RNAcentral describes it as "partial 16S ribosomal RNA". It matches the Rfam family "Bacterial small subunit ribosomal RNA", at positions 524 to 776 of the family's 1533-position model. The record is from RNAcentral.
UACGUAGGGUCCGAGCGUUGUCCGGAAUUACUGGGCGUAAAGAGCUCGUAGGUGGUUUGUCGCGUUGUUCGUGAAAACUCACAGCUCAACUGUGGGCGUGCGGGCGAUACGGGCAGACUUGGGUACUGCAGGGGAGACUGGAAUUCCUGGUGUAGCGGUGAAAUGCGCAGAUAUCAGGAAGAACACCCGUGGCGAAGGCGGCUCUCUGGGACGGUACUGACGCUGAGACGCGAAAGCGUGGGGAGCGAACAGG